UACAGAGGGUGCAAGCGUUAAUCGGAUUUACUGGGCGUAAAGCGCGCGUAGGCGGCUAAUUAAGUCAAAAUGUGAAAUCCCCCGAGCUUAACUUGGGAAUUGCAUUCGAUACUGGUUAGCUAGAGUGUGGGAGAGGAUGGUAGAAUUCCAGGUGUAGCGGUGAAAUGCGUAGAGAUCUGGAGGAAUACCGAUGGCGAAGGCAGCCAUCUGGCCUAACACUGACGCUGAGGUGCGAAAGCAUGGGGAGCAAAGCGG
RNAcentral lists this ribosomal RNA (255 nucleotides) under uncultured bacterium. RNAcentral describes it as "partial 16S ribosomal RNA". It matches the Rfam family "Bacterial small subunit ribosomal RNA", at positions 524 to 776 of the family's 1533-position model. The record is from RNAcentral.